This 471-nucleotide ribosomal RNA is filed under the name uncultured bacterium. Its description in RNAcentral is "bacterial SSU rRNA". It matches the Rfam family "Bacterial small subunit ribosomal RNA", at positions 329 to 793 of the family's 1533-position model. The record is from RNAcentral.
UUACGCACUCCUACGGGAGGCAGCAGUGGGGAAUAUUGCACAAUGGGCGCAAGCCUGAUGCAGCCAUGCCGCGUGUAUGAAGAAGGCCUUCGGGUUGUAAAGUACUUUCAGCAGUGAGGAAGGUGGAUAUGUUAAUAGCAUAUUCAUUUGACGUUAGCUGCAGAAGAAGCACCGGCUAACUCCGUGCCAGCAGCCGCGGUAAUACGGAGGGUGCGAGCGUUAAUCGGAAUUACUGGGCGUAAAGCGCAUGCAGGUGGUUUGUUAAGUCAGAUGUGAAAGCCCGGGGCUCAACCUCGGAAUUGCAUUUGAAACUGGCAAACUAGAGUACUGUAGAGGGGGUAGAAUUUCAGGUGUAGCGGUGAAAUGCGUAGAGAUCUGAAGGAAUACCGGUGGCGAAGGCGGCCCCCUGGACAGAUACUGACACUCAGAUGCGAAAGCGUGGGGAGCAAACAGGAUUAGAUACCCUGGUAG